AUGGGGAGAAUUCGGUGAGGAGGAUGAGGUCGUUUAUAAGCGGGCAAACUGUUUGGGAAUCUGAUAAGGCAGAAACAGUCGAUAUCAUGCGGUAUUUAUUGAGCCAUGUAUGCCAUCCUCUUCUUACUUCAGUCAAGAACAGUGUUAUAGCUUCAGAACCUACUGAAGCGUCUGCCAGAAACCUGUUAAAUGAGUUGGUUAAUGCGAUUGGAAAUGUUCGACAAACAAAUUUUACAGUGCCGACUCUUAGACAAACCCCCUUGACACAGGAGCAGUUCUCAAGGCCUCCUGGGCAAAAU
Molecule: unclassified non-coding RNA, 299 nt
Filed under: Hevea brasiliensis (rubber tree)
Lineage: Eukaryota; Viridiplantae; Streptophyta; Magnoliopsida; Malpighiales; Euphorbiaceae
Source: RNAcentral